GGCAGCAGUGGGGAAUCUUGCACAAUGGAGGAAACUCUGAUGCAGCGAUGCCGCGUGAGUGAAGAAGGCCCUUGGGUUGUAAAGCUCUUUCGUCGGGGAAGAAAAUGACUGUACCCGAAUAAGAAGGUCCGGCUAACUUCGUGCCAGCAGCCGCGGUAAUACGAAGGGACCUAGCGUAGUUCGGAAUUACUGGGCUUAAAGAGUUCGUAGGUGGUUGAAAAAGUUGGUGGUGAAAUCCCAGAGCUUAACUCUGGAACUGCCAUCAAAACUUUUCAGCUAGAGUUUGAUAGAGGAAAGCAGAAUUUCUAGUGUAGAGGUGAAAUUCGUAGAUAUUAGAAAGAAUACCAAUUGCGAAGGCAGCUUUCUGGAUCAAUACUGACACUGAGGAACGAAAGCAUGGGUAGCGAAGAGGAUUAGAUACCCUCGUAGUCCAUGCCGUAAACGAUGUGUGUUAGACGUUGGAAAUUUAUUUUCAGUGUCACAGCGAAAGCAAUAAACACACCGCCUGGGGAGUACGACCGCAAGGUUAAAACUCAAAUGAAUUGACGG
Molecule: ribosomal RNA, 549 nt
Filed under: uncultured bacterium
Lineage: Bacteria
Description: bacterial SSU rRNA
Rfam family: Bacterial small subunit ribosomal RNA
Source: RNAcentral